GACGAACGCUGGCGGCGUGCUUAACACAUGCAAGUCGAACGGAAAGGCCCUGCUUUUGUGGGGUGCUCGAGUGGCGAACGGGUGAGUAACACGUGAGUAACCUGCCCUUGACUUUGGGAUAACUUCAGGAAACUGGGGCUAAUACCGGAUAGUAGCUCCUGCUGCAUGGUGGGGGUUGGAAAGUUUCGGCGGUUGGGGAUGGACUCGCGGCUUAUCAGCUUGUUGGUGGGGUAGUGGCUUACCAAGGCUUUGACGGGUAGCCGGCCUGAGAGGGUGACCGGCCACAUUGGGACUGAGAUACGGCCCAGACUCCUACGGGAGGCAGCAGUGGGGAAUAUCGCACAAUGGGCGGAAGCCUGAUGCAGCAACGCCGCGUGCGGGAUGACGGCCUUGGGGUUGUAAACCGCUUACGCCUGUGACGAAGCGUGAGUGACGGUAAUGGGUAAAGAAGCACCGGCUAACUACGUG
Molecule: ribosomal RNA, 468 nt
Filed under: uncultured bacterium
Lineage: Bacteria
Description: partial 16S ribosomal RNA
Rfam family: Bacterial small subunit ribosomal RNA
Source: RNAcentral